RNAcentral lists this ribosomal RNA (597 nucleotides) under uncultured soil bacterium. Its description in RNAcentral is "bacterial SSU rRNA". It matches the Rfam family "Bacterial small subunit ribosomal RNA", at positions 33 to 616 of the family's 1533-position model. The record is from RNAcentral.
ACGCUGGCGGCGCGCCUAACACAUGCAAGUCGAGCGAGAACCAGGGCUUCGGCCCUGGGGACAGCGGCGAACGGGUGAGUAACACGUGGAUAACCUGCCCUCGGCACCGGAAUAGCCCGGGGAAACCCGGAUUAAUGCCGGAUAGCCCCACAUCCCUGCGGGGAACGUGGGAAAAGGUAGCUUCGGCCUCUGGCCGAGGAUGGGUCCGCGGUGGAUUAGCUUGUUGGCGGGGUAACGGCCCACCAAGGCGACGAUCCAUAGCUGGUCUGAGAGGACGAUCAGCCACACUGGGACUGAGACACGGCCCAGACUCCUACGGGAGGCAGCAGUGGGGAAUCUUGCGCAAUGGGCGAAAGCCUGACGCAGCGACGCCGCGUGCGGGAAGAAGGCCUUCGGGUUGUAAACCGCUUUCAGGAGGGACGAAGCCACUCGGGUGAAUAGCCCAGAGGGUGACGGUACCUCCUGAAGAAGCCCCGGCUAACUACGUGCCAGCAGCCGCGGUAAUACGUAGGGGGCAAGCGUUGUCCGGAUUCAUUGGGCGUAAAGAGCGUGUAGGCGGCCAGGUAGGUCGGUUGUGAAAACUGGAGGCUCAACCUU